RNAcentral lists this ribosomal RNA (372 nucleotides) under uncultured bacterium. RNAcentral's name for it is "bacterial SSU rRNA". It matches the Rfam family "Bacterial small subunit ribosomal RNA", at positions 29 to 414 of the family's 1533-position model. The record is from RNAcentral.
AACGAACACUGGCGGCACGCUCAACACAUGCAAGUCGAACGAAGCAUAGAUUUCGGUCUAUGACUGAGUGGCAAACGGGUGAGUAACACGUGGGAAUCUGCCCUUUAGUGGGGAAUAACUUUGGGAAACUAAAGAUAAUACCGCAUAAGUCCGAAAGGAGAAAGACUUCGGUCGCUAAAGGAGGAGCCCGCGUUAGAUUAGGUAGUUGGUGGGGUAAAGGCCUACCAGGCCUACGAUCUAAGCUGGUCUAAGAGGAUGGUCAGCCACACUGGGACUGAGACACGGCCCAGACUCCUACGGGGGGCAGCGAGGUGGGGAAUAUUGGACAAUGGGGGAAACCCUGAUCCAGCGAUGCCGCGUGAGUGAUGAAGG